Molecule: transfer RNA, 72 nt
Filed under: Ipomoea nil (Japanese morning glory)
Lineage: Eukaryota; Viridiplantae; Streptophyta; Magnoliopsida; Solanales; Convolvulaceae
Rfam family: tRNA
About the family: Transfer RNA (tRNA) molecules are approximately 80 nucleotides in length. Their secondary structure includes four short double-helical elements and three loops (D, anti-codon, and T loops). Further hydrogen bonds mediate the characteristic L-shaped molecular structure. tRNAs have two regions of fundamental functional importance: the anti-codon, which is responsible for specific mRNA codon recognition, and the 3' end, to which the tRNAs corresponding amino acid is attached (by aminoacyl-tRNA synthetases). tRNAs cope with the degeneracy of the genetic code in two manners: having more than one tRNA (with a specific anti-codon) for a particular amino acid; and 'wobble' base-pairing, i.e. permitting non-standard base-pairing at the 3rd anti-codon position.
Source: Rfam by way of RNAcentral
GACUCCAUGGCCCAAUGGAUAAGGUGUUGGUCUACGAAACUAGAGAUCCUGGGUUUGAUCCCAGUGGAGUCA